GCCUAACACAUGCAAGUCGAACGGUAGCACAGAGGAGCUUGCUCCUUGGGUGACGAGUGGCGGACGGGUGAGUAAUGUCUGGGAAACUGCCCGAUGGAGGGGGAUAACUACUGGAAACGGUAGCUAAUACCGCAUAACGUCGCAAGACCAAAGAGGGGGACCUUCGGGCCUCUUGCCAUCGGAUGUGCCCAGAUGGGAUUAGCUAGUAGGUGGGGUAACGGCUCACCUAGGCGACGAUCCCUAGCUGGUCUGAGAGGAUGACCAGCCACACUGGAACUGAGACACGGUCCAGACUCCUACGGGAGGCAGCAGUGGGGAAUAUUGCACAAUGGGCGCAAGCCUGAUGCAGCCAUGCCGCGUGUAUGAAGAAGGCCUUCGGGUUGUAAAGUACUUUCAGCGAGGAGGAAGGCGUUGUGGUUAAUAACCGCAGCGAUUGACGUUACUCGCAGAAGAAGCACCGGCUAACUCCGUGCCAGCAGCCGCGGUAAUACGGAGGGUGCAAGCGUUAAUCGGAAUUACUGGGCGUAAAGCGCACGCAGGCGGUCUGUCAAGUCGGAUGUGAAAUCCCCGGGCUCAACCUGGGAACUGCAUCCGAAACUGGCAGGCUAGAGUCUUGUAGAGGGGGGUAGAAUUCCAGGUGUAGCGGUGAAAUGCGUAGAGAUCUGGAGGAAUACCGGUGGCGAAGGCG
Molecule: ribosomal RNA, 688 nt
Filed under: Citrobacter freundii
Lineage: Bacteria; Pseudomonadati; Pseudomonadota; Gammaproteobacteria; Enterobacterales; Enterobacteriaceae
Description: bacterial SSU rRNA
Rfam family: Bacterial small subunit ribosomal RNA
Source: RNAcentral